This 200-nucleotide ribosomal RNA is filed under the name uncultured bacterium. Its description in RNAcentral is "partial 16S ribosomal RNA". It matches the Rfam family "Bacterial small subunit ribosomal RNA", at positions 8 to 204 of the family's 1533-position model. The record is from RNAcentral.
AGAGUUUGAUCCUGGCUCAGAACGAACGCUGGCGGCGUGCCUAACACAUGCAAGUCGAACGGAAUUUGAGAGCUUGCUCUUAAAUUUAGUGGCGCACGGGUGGGUAACGCGUAGAUAAUCUGCCUGACGAUCUGGGAUAACACUUCGAAAGAGGUGCUAAUACCGGAUAAGCCCACGGAGUCUUUGGACUUUGGCGGGAA